GGCAUUUUUCAUAAACGCCGCAAAUAUUUAUUAAAUUUGACUUAAACAGCUCAUUUUGUUAGCCCUGAAAUUCCUUUAGUUUUUCCCCAAAUGAUAUUUCUCCAAAAUUUUUUUCCAAAUCCCAUUAUCUCUUCCCCAAUUUCCCCUAAAUGAUUGAAAACCCUAACUUUUUUCCCCAAAUCCCCUCCUUUUUGUCAUCUUUUAAAUCCUAACCCUUUUCUCUUCUAUAUAAAUUCUUCACCAGCAACAGCAACAAAAAAUUUCUCAUAGCUGUUCUCUUUGCCGAAACCAAAAAAAUUCUGAGGAAAAUAUGCAGCAGCCUUCACAAUUGAUGAACAUCCCCACUGAGUAGAUUCAAAAGGUACAAGCCCAAUACCAUUGAUCUAUCAGAUCACAAAAAGUUUAGAGUACUGGUUCACUGUGCUUUCAGAGCACUUGCUUGACCUUGUUGAUAAGGGCAGUUACUGAGCUUCAAAUUAUCUAUUUCUUUCUCUUUUUUGGUCAGACCGAAUUAAGCAGGCCAAAGUUUGUAAAGAUAAAAUGCCUAGAAGAAGAUUGCAAGAUCUCAGUAUUAUUCAAAAUCCUUCGAAUUCGGAAUAAACAAAUAGUGAAAAACAGAGAGCUACAGGACAUUCGAAUAUUCCGAAUACAACUGACGAAUCUAUAGAAAUUCAAACUGAAAGUGGUGGGAGGCGCAAAACUCGAGGGCGUACACUAUUAAAAGAUUUAUACGAGUUAAAUUCUGUCGAGCGUGUCAAAGUAGCUAGAAACAAUCUUGGUCAGUCUAUUGGAUCAGAAGCUCAACUAUUAGUAGGAUACUUGGGCAUUAUAGCACGAAAUGCCAAUAUGUUGCCUAUCAACUACGAGUCAUCGCAUCAUAUGCUUGAUAGUAUAAAAAAUCAAGCUCUCGAUAAUAUUAAGGAGAGAUUUGCUAUAAAGGUAUCGGAUAAUUAUGUGAAGAAGGCAUUACGAAACAAAUGGAGAGACCAUAAAAGUGCUUUAAAGAAGGAAUAUUUUAAGAAAAAUAUAAGCCUCAAAGAGAAAUUACAAAUGUCCUGCUGAGAAUGCUGAGGUACCAAUGGGAAGAUGCAAUUAGAUUUUGGAAUUCAAAGAAAUGAGAGGAUCGUGAGCUAGUUGGAACUACAAGUAGGCAAAAAUAAAAAUUCACGCACACAGUUGGGUUGAAAAGUUUUGCUUGUGUAGCUGAUGACGAGGAACUGUCGUCUGGUCAAAAAGUUGGACGCCUUUAGCUUUUUAACAUUACACAUAGAAAGAAAGAUGGAUCUCCUACGACUACUAAAGCUGCAAAAAUUAUGGAGAAACUAAAGGAUAAAAGGGCAGAGUAUGAAGCAAUCGCUUCGAGUGAUAGUUCUGUUAAUCUUGAUGACAUUGAUAACCGAAUUAUUACUGAAGUUUUGAGUCCUGAAAGCAAUACAUGCCUUCAGAGAAUCAAGCUCAAGCUAAAGUUCAAAGGUUAAGGGACUAGAUGGCUCAGAUGCAAGCGAGCACAGUUGAGCAAAUUGCUCAACUUAAAGUGGAGGCAGCAUCAAGAGAAGCAGAGGCUCAAAGAAAAUAUGAAGAACUCUAGAUAAAACUUAAAGUGGAGGCAGUAGCGAGGGAAGUAGAGGCAAGCAAAAAAUAUGACGAACUCCAGCUACAACUUUAGAAUAUGAUGAAGAUGUUUCAGUAGUCGCAGAGUCUACCCUUUUAGACGUCUGUUUUCUUAUUGUAAGAAUAUUUUAACAUUAUAACUUUUGAA
This is a long non-coding RNA of Gossypium raimondii (Peruvian cotton), 1759 nucleotides long. RefSeq lists it as uncharacterized. The transcript is spliced from 12 exons. Lineage: Eukaryota; Viridiplantae; Streptophyta; Magnoliopsida; Malvales; Malvaceae. The record is from RefSeq and is a predicted model, not a curated record.